AGCCGAGAUAGCUCAGUCGGUAGAGCAGAGGACUGAAAAUCCUCGUGU
Molecule: transfer RNA, 48 nt
Filed under: Hymenasplenium wangpeishanii
Lineage: Eukaryota; Viridiplantae; Streptophyta; Polypodiopsida; Polypodiales; Aspleniaceae
Description: partial tRNA-Phe
Rfam family: tRNA
About the family: Transfer RNA (tRNA) molecules are approximately 80 nucleotides in length. Their secondary structure includes four short double-helical elements and three loops (D, anti-codon, and T loops).
Source: RNAcentral